Molecule: non-coding RNA, 1468 nt
Organism: Nicotiana tabacum (common tobacco)
Lineage: Eukaryota; Viridiplantae; Streptophyta; Magnoliopsida; Solanales; Solanaceae
Source: RefSeq, a predicted model, not a curated record
UAAAGGUCGGUUCAGCUGAUGGUUUUCCCUUUGAGCAAGAAAUUUCCCUCUCUGCCUCUGCUAAGACUUGAGCUAAAAAAGAUGAGACAUCCUCCGGGUUUCAAAAGGUGCAUGGGCAGGAAGCUUCAAACACAUGAAGCUACAUUUGAGAUUUCCGAUGAGAAUUCUGUGACUGAGACUGCGCCUGCACCAGUUAACAGGAAAAGGCCACGUGGUGGAAACGCUGAACGAUGGUUGGAGGAGGACGAGCUGGUCCUCAUUGACAUUUUACAUGAGAAUAUGAAGAAACAUGAGUUCAACUCUUUUAUCAUUAUACUGCAAAAUGUUGGAGUGACAUUAUUGACGAGUUUUGGGCUAGAACGGGAAAGCGCAAAAGGUAUUAUGAUGAGCAAUGCAUCAAACAGAAAUAUCAUAGGCUUAAAAAAAAUUGGAAGGAUUUCAAGGAAGUACUUGCAAGAUGCUCGGAAUAUGGAUGGGACCAAGAAACUAACAAAGUAGUUGUUCCUAAUGAUGUUUGGGCGAAUCAUGUGGAGAGAUUCAGUGAUCACAAGAAGUUCAGAUAUCAUGGCCUAAAAAUUUUUGAUAAAUUGAAUGAAAUGUCCAAAAAUAUUUGUGUCCUUGGCAGUCCAUCCAGUUGGUCCAGGAAGUCCCAAGUUUCUGAGACCGCAAAGAUCAUUGACUGCAUCACUGGAGUCGCAGUCACUGUCCGACGAUUCAGAUAGCGAUGAUGAGGAUUUCAUUCUCUAUGCAGCAGCACUAUCUGCGGACCUGUAAGACAACAAAGAACCAGUUAAGGAAUGAGGGAACAACAGUGGGAACAUAUAAGAUCAGUUCCCAUGUCGUCGCGCAAGUCAACUAUACUGUUGUUAAAGUGCUGCAUUGUACUUGCAAUAGUACAUCAGAACAGCUGCAAUUUGCUAAACCAGAAAUGCCCUUGUAACUACCCUCAUGAUCUCACAUAUAUAAACAACAUGUUACAAGGUGUUGACCUAACACUUGCAUUUACAAAAACACAUAAUCUCUCAAGUGUGCAGCCGCCUCUGAGGGAUCAGGUGCAUUGAAGAACAAAGCAGCUACAAAACAAAGGACCAGAUCCCAACAUUGAAUAUGUCGUGUGUCAUUUAAGUAUUGCUGUGUCUUUUUCUUAUGUUAUUUAUUUGUAACUCCUACACAGCUUUUUAGAAGCAUUUAGUAGGACAUUAUUUAACCAUCAUUGCUUUUGGUUAUUGACUAGAGUUAAUCAAGAGAGCAUCUUUGUAAUAGAGUUAUUUACAAAGAGCUUACAAUAGAGUUAUUGUAAAAGGUGAGAGAUUAAGAGUUUAAUACCUAGAUUGCAAUAGGUUGCUGAGAGUUUUCCACGUAAAUAUUGCGUUCUUAAUUUACUGCUGUGUACUGUGGGAACUGAUAGAGAACUUGGUUCUCUAUACAGUUUGGUGGACCCUUAGUUUUUAUCAAUCCACUGCUAUAC